Molecule: ribosomal RNA, 579 nt
Filed under: Bacillus sp. SP19
Lineage: Bacteria; Bacillati; Bacillota; Bacilli; Caryophanales; Bacillaceae
Description: bacterial SSU rRNA
Rfam family: Bacterial small subunit ribosomal RNA
Source: RNAcentral
UAGAGUUUUGAUCAUGGCUCAGGACGAACGCUGGCGGCGUGCCUAAUACAUGCAAGUCGAGCGGACUGAUGGGAGCUUGCUCCCUGAAGUCAGCGGCGGACGGGUGAGUAACACGUGGGUAACCUGCCUGUAAGACUGGGAUAACUCCGGGAAACCGGGGCUAAUACCGGAUAGUUCUUUUCCUCGCAUGAGGAAAAGUGGAAAGGCGGCUUCGGCUGCCACUUACAGAUGGACCCGCGGCGCAUUAGCUAGUUGGUGAGGUAACGGCUCACCAAGGCAACGAUGCGUAGCCGACCUGAGAGGGUGAUCGGCCACACUGGGACUGAGACACGGCCCAAACUCCUACGGGAGGCAGCAGUUGGGAAUCUUCCGCAAUGGACGAAAGUCUGACGGAACAACGCCCCGUGRGUGAUGAAGGUUUUCGGAUCGUAAAGCUCUGGUGUUAGGGAAGAACAAGUAUCGUUCGAAUAGGGGGGCCCCUUGACGGUACCUAACCAGAAAGCCACGGCUAACUACCUCCCAACAGCCGGGGUAAUCCCUAGGUGGCAAGCGAUUUCCGAAAUUAUUGGCCGUAAAGGG